UUGUCCUACGGGGGGCAGCAGUGGGGGAUAUUGCACAAUGGGGGGAACCCUGAUGCAGCGACGCCGCGUGGGUGAAGGAGCGUUUCGGCGCGUAAAGCCCUAUCGGCAGGGAAGAAGAUGACGGUACCUGACUAAGAAGCCCCGGCUAACUACGUGCCAGCAGCCGCGGUAAUACGUAGGGGGCAAGCGUUAUCCGGAUUUACUGGGUGUAAAGGGAGCGUAGACGGCGAUGCAAGCCAGAUGUGAAAGCCCGGGGCUCAACCCCGGGACUGCAUUUGGAACUGUGUGGCUGGAGUGUCGGAGAG
RNAcentral lists this ribosomal RNA (305 nucleotides) under uncultured bacterium. RNAcentral describes it as "bacterial SSU rRNA". It matches the Rfam family "Bacterial small subunit ribosomal RNA", at positions 334 to 656 of the family's 1533-position model. The record is from RNAcentral.